GGUAUAGCUCAAUGGUAGAGUGCAUGCCGCAUACACAAGGUCCUGGGUUCAAUCCCCAGUACC
RNAcentral lists this transfer RNA (63 nucleotides) under Camelus bactrianus (Bactrian camel). It matches the Rfam family "tRNA". Rfam says of the family: Transfer RNA (tRNA) molecules are approximately 80 nucleotides in length. Their secondary structure includes four short double-helical elements and three loops (D, anti-codon, and T loops). RNAcentral also lists the same sequence under 2 other names. The record is from Rfam by way of RNAcentral. Lineage: Eukaryota; Metazoa; Chordata; Mammalia; Artiodactyla; Camelidae.